Molecule: ribosomal RNA, 468 nt
Filed under: uncultured bacterium
Lineage: Bacteria
Description: partial 16S ribosomal RNA
Rfam family: Bacterial small subunit ribosomal RNA
Source: RNAcentral
GACGAACGCUGGCGGCGUGCUUAACACAUGCAAGUCGAACGGAAAGGCCCUGCUUUUGUGGGGUGCUCGAGUGGCGAACGGGUGAGUAACACGUGAGUAACCUGCCCUUGACUUUGGGAUAACUUCAGGAAACUGGGGCUAAUACCGGAUAGGAGCUCCUGCUGCAUGGUGGGGGUUGGAAAGUUUCGGCGGUUGGGGAUGGACUCGCGGCUUAUCAGCUUGUUGGGGAGGUAGUGGCUUACCAAGGCUUUGACGGGUAGCCGGCCUGAGAGGGUGACCGGCCACAUUGGGACUGAGAUACGGCCCAGACUCCUACGGGAGGCAGCAGUGGGGAAUAUUGCACAAUGGGCGGAAGCCUGAUGCAGCAACGCCGCGUGCGGGAUGACGGCCUUCGGGUUGUAAACCGCUUUCGCCUGUGACGAAGCGUGAGUGACGGUAAUGGGUAAAGAAGCACCGGCUAACUACGUG